Molecule: non-coding RNA, 72 nt
Organism: Chlamydomonas reinhardtii
Lineage: Eukaryota; Viridiplantae; Chlorophyta; Chlorophyceae; Chlamydomonadales; Chlamydomonadaceae
Source: Rfam
GGGCUUUUAGCUCAGUGGUAGAGCGCGCGCUUUGCAUGCGUGAGGUCAUCGGUUCGAACCCGAUAUGGUCCA